UGGUGGAAAUGCUGACUGGUGCAGCCCCACUGUGGAAAACAGUAUGGAGGUUCCUCAUAAAAGUAAAAAUGGAACUACCAUUUAACCCUGUGA
This is a long non-coding RNA of Myotis brandtii (Brandt's bat), 93 nucleotides long. RefSeq lists it as uncharacterized. Lineage: Eukaryota; Metazoa; Chordata; Mammalia; Chiroptera; Vespertilionidae. The transcript is spliced from 3 exons. The record is from RefSeq and is a predicted model, not a curated record.